CCCUUAGAUGUCCUGGGCCGCACGCGCGUUACACUGAUGCAUUCAACGAGCUUAUAACCUUGGCCGAGAGGCCUGGGCAAUCUUGUUAACGUGCAUCGUGAUAGGGAUAGACUAUUGCAAUUAUUGGUCUUCAACGAGGAAUUCCUAGUAGACGUAGUUCAUCAGACUGCAUCGAUUACGUCCCUGCCCUUUGUACACACCGCCCGUCGCUCCUACCGAUUGAAUGCUCAGGUGAGCCAUUCGGACUUUCAUCAUGCUGGUUUCCAGUUUUGAUGAAGGAAAGUCUUGCGAACCUUAUCAUUUAGAGGAAGGAGAAGUCGUAACA
Molecule: ribosomal RNA, 325 nt
Filed under: uncultured eukaryote
Lineage: Eukaryota
Description: partial 18S ribosomal RNA
Rfam family: Eukaryotic small subunit ribosomal RNA
Source: RNAcentral